AUUGAACGCUGGCGGCAUGCCUUACACAUGCAAGUCGAACGGCAGCACGGGAGCAAUCCUGGUGGCGAGUGGCGAACGGGUGAGUAAAGUAUCGGAACGUGCCCAGUCGUGGGGGAUAACGUAGCGAAAGUUACGCUAAUACCGCAUACGAUCUAUGGAUGAAAGCGGGGGAUCGCAAGACCUCGCGCGAUUGGAGCGGCCGAUAUCGGAUUAGGUAGUUGGUGGGGUAAAGGCUCACCAAGCCGACGAUCUGUAGCUGGUCUGAGAGGACGACCAGCCACACUGGGACUGAGACACGGCCCAGACACCUACGGGAGGCAGCAGUGGGGAAUUUUGGACAAUGGGCGCAAGCCUGAUCCAGCCAUGCCGCGUGCAGGAUGAAGGCCUUCGGGUUGUAAACUGCUUUUGUACGGAACGAAAAGGUUUGACUUAAUACGUUGGACUCAUGACGGUACCGUAAGAAUAAGCACCGGCUAACUACGUGCCAGCAGCCGCCGUAA
Molecule: ribosomal RNA, 500 nt
Filed under: uncultured bacterium
Lineage: Bacteria
Description: partial 16S ribosomal RNA
Rfam family: Bacterial small subunit ribosomal RNA
Source: RNAcentral